Molecule: ribosomal RNA, 1233 nt
Filed under: uncultured prokaryote
Description: partial 16S ribosomal RNA
Rfam family: Bacterial small subunit ribosomal RNA
Source: RNAcentral
AGAGUUUGAUCAUGGCUCAGAUUGAACGCUGGCGGCAGGCUUAACACAUGCAAGUCGAACGGAAACAGGAAGUAGCUUGCUACUUUGCUGUCGAGUGGCGGACGGGUGAGUAAUGCUUGGGAACAUGCCAAAACGUGGGGGACAACAGUUGGAAACGACUGCUAAUACCGCAUAAUAUCUUCGGAUCAAAGCAGGGGACCUUCGGGCCUUGCGCGUUUUGAGUGGCCCAAGUGGGAUUAGCUAGUUGGUAAGGUAAUGGCUUACCAAGGCGACGAUCCCUAGCUGGUCUUAGAGGAUGACCAGCCACACUGGAACUGAGACACGGUCCAGACUCCUACGGGAGGCAGCAGUGGGGAAUAUUGCACAAUGGAGGAAACUCUGAUGCAGCCAUGCCGCGUGUGUGAAGAAGGCUUUCGGGUUGUAAAGCACUUUCAGUGGGGAGGAAAGGGUGUAUGUUAAUAGCAUGCAUCUGUGACGUUACCCACAGAAGAAGCACCGGCUAACUCCGUGCCAGCAGCCGCGGUAAUACGGAGGGUGCGAGCGUUAAUCGGAAUUACUGGGCGUAAAGCGCGCGUAGGAAAGCUAACGCAUUAAAUAGACCGCCUGGGGAGUACGGCCGCAAGGUUAAAACUCAAAUGAAUUGACGGGGGCCCGCACAAGCGGUGGAGCAUGUGGUUUAAUUCGAUGCAACGCGAAGAACCUUACCAUCCCUUGACAUCCAGAGAAUCACCUAGAGAUAGAUGAGUGCCUUCGGGAACUCUGAGACAGGUGCUGCAUGGCUGUCGUCAGCUCGUGUUGUGAAAUGUUGGGUUAAGUCCCGCAACGAGCGCAACCCUUAUCCUUACUUGCCAGCGGGUUAUGCCGGGAACUUUAGGGAGACUGCCGGUGAUAAACCGGAGGAAGGUGGGGACGACGUCAAGUCAUCAUGGCCCUUACGGGAUGGGCUACACACGUGCUACAAUGGCAGAUACAAAGGGUUGCUAACCUGCGAGGGUAUGCGAAUCUCAUAAAGUCUGUCGUAGUCCGGAUCGGAGUCUGCAACUCGACUCCGUGAAGUUGGAAUCGCUAGUAAUCGUGGAUCAGAAUGCCACGGUGAAUACGUUCCCGGGCCUUGUACACACCGCCCGUCACACCAUGGGAGUGGGCUGCACCAGAAGUCAUUAGCUUAACCUUUCGGGAUGGCGAUGACCACGGUGUGGUUCAUGACUGGGGUGAAGUCGUAACAAGGUAGCC